CCUACGGGAGGCAGCAGUAGGGAAUCUUCCACAAUGGGCGAAAGCCUGAUGGAGCAACGCCGCGUGGGUGAAGAAGGUCUUCGGAUCGUAAAACCCUGUUGUGAGAGAAGAAAGUGCGUGAGAGUAACUGUUCACGUGUCGACGGUAUCUAACCAGAAAGCCACGGCUAACUACGUGCCAGCAGCCGCGGUAAUACGUAGGUGGCAAGCGUUAUCCGGAUUUAUUGGGCGUAAAGGGAACGCAGGCGGUCUUUUAAGUCUGAUGUGAAAGCCUUCGGCUUAACCGGAGUAGUGCAUUGGAAACUGGGAGACUUGAGUGCAGAAGAGGAGAGUGUAACUCCAUGUGUAGCGGUGAAAUGCGUAGAUAUAUGGAAGAACACCAGUGGCGAAAGCGGCUCUCUGGUCUGUAACUGACGCUGAGGUUCGAAAGCGUGGGUAGCAAACAGGAUUAGAUACCCCUGUAGUC
RNAcentral lists this ribosomal RNA (465 nucleotides) under uncultured bacterium. Its description in RNAcentral is "partial 16S ribosomal RNA". It matches the Rfam family "Bacterial small subunit ribosomal RNA", at positions 338 to 795 of the family's 1533-position model. The record is from RNAcentral.